This is a long non-coding RNA of Centrocercus urophasianus (Greater sage-grouse), 597 nucleotides long. RefSeq lists it as uncharacterized. Lineage: Eukaryota; Metazoa; Chordata; Aves; Galliformes; Phasianidae. The transcript has 3 exons. The record is from RefSeq and is a predicted model, not a curated record.
CUCGGGUCGCGGUGUUGGCGCUGAGGUGGCGGCGGGCCGCUGUGGGGCUAAGGGAAGUGGCAGCAGGAGGGUUUGUUCUUCGCAGAGCCGGAGCUCUGGAAGCAGCUGUCAGUGGCUGUGUGUGGAAACAGGACCUGAGGAGCGGCCUGGUCAGCAGCUGCUGCUGUACCACCUUCUGCUGUGGGCUCCGUGAUCCUCAUGGAGGCCUUGGCAGAGUGCAUGCUCAGCCAGAUCAAUCCCACAUCAGCUUCCUACGUCCCUUACCAGUAUUAGGAAGUCUCUGUUGUUCAGAGCUUCCUCUUAUGGCACUUCUCUCAGGGGUCGCCAACCAGCAGACCAGGCUGCCCAGAGCGACAUCCAGCCUGGCCUUGAAUGCCUCCAGGGAUGGGGAAAUAGAACAGUCUGAAGAAAUCUACAGCGAUUCUGACCACCCGACCUCUUAAGUGCUGGCCAACAUGUAAAGCACGAGCCCAACCCAUUUAAACCAUUUCAUUACAGGUUUCAACCCAACCACUGAAAGGUGGAAGUGGAUGAUCAAAAAGGAUCUGAUCUCAUGUCAUAGAAUGAACAUUAAAGUAACAAGAUUCCACGAAGAUA